CCUCUACACCGAAUACUCAAGAGUAUUAAUCCUCUGUCUGAAUGGUCUUUCCACCCGGAAGAGACUACAUGACCACACUCACACCAGUGUGUCAAAGGAGGGCCCCCACACAGGCCCCUUACAGGAUUGACGGGAUUCUGAGGGAUUCUCUUGUAACCACUACCAGUCAUUCCUGGAACAGCUAAGGGGAAACUAAAAUUAAAGGGACCCCUUGUCAAGUUCUGGCAGAUGCACAAGUUACACUCUGUACUUUGAACCCCACUUGCUCCAGAGCUCACAGAUGGGAAUCCUGGAAAAAGAAGGGUGAGAAUCCUUACCUGAGUUUGCUCUCCCAAGUUACUGUGGCCCACUCAAGAGAGGAAGGAAUCAAAGUUGUUCUCAUCAGAAGGGAAAAACUGUGGGAGAGUGGUGUUCUCCAAGGUGGAAAAUGUCGUCUUCACAAGUAUCAGUGAAAAGUUGAAGUCCCCUUGACUCACCCUUUUACCAGAAGCAUGAUGUGAGUGUGAUCCUCUUAUAAAUGGACCCUUGAUUGUUUUACUCUGAUGAUUCUGCAAAACUGAAACGCAUGGAAAGAACCCUACCAAGAACUCUGGACCGCUGACAUUCCUGCCAAAUUAGAAGGUGCUGAACCUGGGGUGCCUAUGUCCCAACUGAGGAAGGCUCCAUCUGACUUUGGGUCCGGUACAAAAGCCGGAGACCUCAAACUCAAAUGGACCAGCAAGAGAGGUCGACCGCUUCUUCCCAAGAUGGGGGG
Molecule: long non-coding RNA, 754 nt
Organism: Neofelis nebulosa (Clouded leopard)
Lineage: Eukaryota; Metazoa; Chordata; Mammalia; Carnivora; Felidae
Exons: 3
Source: RefSeq, a predicted model, not a curated record